GAGGAAGUUGUGGCUGCCCUGGCAGAGUAUGAGGGAGUCGGGCAAGAGCUGUGAUGCUGAGUUUCCGUGAUUGUGCAACGCUGCUGGAGAGGGGUACAGCAGAGCCAGGCUCAGCCUCCAACCUGCUCCCGGGAAUGUUUCCCAAGCCGCAGACUCUGCUGGCACCAUGCUUCCCUCCCUGCUCGUCCCACACCCACAGGCUGAGGGCACAUCUGAGUAUGGGAGAGGCUUGCUCCAGAGUCUGGAGCCUCAGGGACCUGCACCCAGACAUCCUGAGGCUGAUCCCACCUCUCCCUACAGGCACCAGUGCCUCCAGGCAGCCCUGGUUACCAGCAUACCUAAGCCAGGCCAGUGAGGGGCUUGGGAAGCCUGUGAAUGGUGCUGGCUGUGAUGGGUCUCAUUACCCC
RNAcentral lists this long non-coding RNA (407 nucleotides) under Rattus norvegicus (Norway rat). RNAcentral's name for it is "long non-coding RNA NONRATT005719". Lineage: Eukaryota; Metazoa; Chordata; Mammalia; Rodentia; Muridae. The record is from RNAcentral.